This 79-nucleotide non-coding RNA is filed under the name Paramoeba aestuarina. The record is from RNAcentral. Lineage: Eukaryota; Discosea; Flabellinia; Dactylopodida; Paramoebidae.
CUUCUUCCCACCCCCACCCCUCUCACCAUCCCCACCCUUCUUCCUUUCCCCCCAACCCCAACCCCAACCACAACCCAAU